GCCCUUGUAGUUUUAAUGAUAAAACAGGCCCUUGGUAAGGGUCAGUUUCGGGUUUGACUCCCGAUGAGGGCACCA
Molecule: transfer RNA, 75 nt
Filed under: Candidatus Pelagibacter sp.
Lineage: Bacteria; Pseudomonadati; Pseudomonadota; Alphaproteobacteria; Candidatus Pelagibacterales; Candidatus Pelagibacteraceae
Description: tRNA-Thr
Rfam family: tRNA
About the family: Transfer RNA (tRNA) molecules are approximately 80 nucleotides in length. Their secondary structure includes four short double-helical elements and three loops (D, anti-codon, and T loops).
Source: RNAcentral